RNAcentral lists this ribosomal RNA (232 nucleotides) under uncultured bacterium. RNAcentral's name for it is "partial 16S ribosomal RNA". It matches the Rfam family "Bacterial small subunit ribosomal RNA", at positions 118 to 347 of the family's 1533-position model. The record is from RNAcentral.
UGGGUAACCCACCUCGAUGAUUGGGACAACCCGGGGAAACUCGGGCUAAUACCAAAUGUGCUUGUAGACCAUGAGGUCCAUGAGUAAAGAUAGCUUCGGCCUUCGCAUCGAGACGGGCCCGCGGCCCAUUAGCUUGUUGGUGAGGUAACGGCUCACCAAGGCGACGAUGGGUAGCUGGUCUGAGAGGACGAUCAGCCACACUGGGACUGAGACACGGUCCAGCUCCUAGGAG